RNAcentral lists this long non-coding RNA (491 nucleotides) under Hordeum vulgare. RNAcentral's name for it is "long non-coding RNA (HVUL_LNC003258)". The record is from RNAcentral. Lineage: Eukaryota; Viridiplantae; Streptophyta; Magnoliopsida; Poales; Poaceae.
AGGAGGUCAGCGGGUAGGGCGGCUCGGCGACACUGACGGCGAAUCCGAGGCGAGGCGGAGGCCGCGAUGGCGAAGCGUGGAGGCAGCCAUGGCACGGAGGCGCCUCACGGUGCGACGAUUGUGACGGGGUACGGUGUGGCGCACGCGCGACGACGAAUCCAUGCCCAGCUCAUGCUCCAGUUCGUGUCGAUGUAUGUUACAGAAUCCAAAGCACCGAUACUUUAGAAAUUUGUGUAUCGCCGUUCAGUACUUCGCCGAUACUUCGAUACUUCAGAUACGCCUUCGAUAUAGGUAUCCCCAAAGUAUCGUUAUUUUCAAUUUAAAAGAAAUGGUGUUACGCGUAUUCUCAAAGUAUCGCCGUUGUAUAUUGUCCAUGCCUUGAUGUAUCGUUGAUCUGUUAAUAUGAUAGUGCACGUGGACCGUACUAAUGUAGUAGUUGGAUAAAAGUGCUUGUUAAGAAUGUUGCUUGUGCAAUUCAUUAUUUGGCCCAC